UCACACUUCCUCACGAAACUUCAGUGCUGC
RNAcentral lists this non-coding RNA (30 nucleotides) under Homo sapiens (human). The record is from RNAcentral. Lineage: Eukaryota; Metazoa; Chordata; Mammalia; Primates; Hominidae.